CUACGAGGGGCAGCAGUGGGGAAUAUUGCACAAUGGGCGCAAGCCUGAUGCAGCAACGCCGCGUGAGGGAUGAAGGCCUUCGGGUUGUAAACCUCUUUUAGCAGGGAAGAAGCGAAAGUGACGGUACCUGCAGAAAAAGCACCGGCUAACUACGUGCCAGCAGCCGCGGUAAUACGUAGGGUGCAAGCGUUGUCCGGAAUUAUUGGGCGUAAAGAGCUCGUAGGCGGUUUGUCACGUCUGCUGUGAAAAUCCAAGGCUCAACCUUGGACUUGCAGUGGGUACGGGCAGGCUAGAGUGCGGUAGGGGAGAUGGGAAUUCCUGGUGUAGCGGUGGAAUGCGCAGAUAUCAGGAGGAACACCAAUGGCGAAGGCACAUCUCUGGGCCGUAACUGACACUGAGGAGCGAAAGCGUGGGGAGCGAACAGGAUUAGAUACCCCCGUAGUC
This 444-nucleotide ribosomal RNA is filed under the name uncultured bacterium. RNAcentral describes it as "partial 16S ribosomal RNA". It matches the Rfam family "Bacterial small subunit ribosomal RNA", at positions 339 to 795 of the family's 1533-position model. The record is from RNAcentral.